RNAcentral lists this transfer RNA (58 nucleotides) under Salmo salar (Atlantic salmon). It matches the Rfam family "tRNA", at positions 8 to 63 of the family's 71-position model. Rfam says of the family: Transfer RNA (tRNA) molecules are approximately 80 nucleotides in length. The record is from Rfam by way of RNAcentral. Lineage: Eukaryota; Metazoa; Chordata; Actinopteri; Salmoniformes; Salmonidae.
UGGCUCAGUUGGUAGAGCACGGUGUUUGCACCGCCAAGGUUGUGGGUUCGAUUCCCAC